Molecule: ribosomal RNA, 252 nt
Filed under: uncultured bacterium
Lineage: Bacteria
Description: partial 16S ribosomal RNA
Rfam family: Bacterial small subunit ribosomal RNA
Source: RNAcentral
UACGAAGGGGCUAGCGUUGCUCGGAUUGACUGGGCGUAAAGGGUGUGCAGGCGGUCGGGUGUGUCAGAUGUGAAAUCCCGAGGCUCAACCUCGGAACUGCGUCUGAAACUACUCGACUAGAGUACUGGAGAGGGUAACGGAAUUCACGGUGUAGCAGUGAAAUGCGUAGAUAUCAUGAGGAACACCAGAGGCGAAGGCGGUUACCUGGACAGUUACUGACGCUCAGGCACGAAAGCAUGGGGAGCAAAAGGG